This 253-nucleotide ribosomal RNA is filed under the name uncultured bacterium. Its description in RNAcentral is "partial 16S ribosomal RNA". It matches the Rfam family "Bacterial small subunit ribosomal RNA", at positions 524 to 776 of the family's 1533-position model. The record is from RNAcentral.
UACAGAGGGUGCAAGCGUUGUUCGGAAUUAUUGGGCGUAAAGAGCUCGUAGGCGGUUUGUCGCGUCGACUGUGAAAACCUACAGCUUAACUGUGGGCUUGCAGUCGAUACGGGCAGACUUGAGUUCGGUAGGGGAGACUGGAAUUCCUGGUGUAGCGGUGAAAUGCGCAGAUAUCAGGAGGAACACCGGUGGCGAAGGCGGGUCUCUGGGCCGAUACUGACGCUGAGGAGCGAAAGCGUGGGGAGCGAACAGG